Perca flavescens (yellow perch) is the source of this 451-nucleotide long non-coding RNA. RefSeq lists it as uncharacterized. The record is from RefSeq and is a predicted model, not a curated record. The transcript has 3 exons. Lineage: Eukaryota; Metazoa; Chordata; Actinopteri; Perciformes; Percidae.
GUCCUCCUCUCUAUCUGUCUGCCUCUCCGUUUGUCCAUCGUCACGUUGAGGUGAAAAUAAAGCUCGGUAAUGGAGACUGCUGUGAACCGGGGUUCUUGCUUUUCUCCUCGUCGGAGAUACACAAACUCACUGGACAAAUAAGGCGUCAAAUGACAAGCACCGGUUUUCAACGCUUGUUCUUCUUCUUCUUCUUCUUCUUCUUCUUCUUCUUCUUCUUCUUCUUCUUGUCUAUCAACGCUUCUUCAAAAACAGAUGCCCUGCUCGGGAAGUUACGGGCAAAACACGGAUAAAUCUGCCAAGUCGUCUUCUUCAAUUUCCAAAAGGCGCUCUCACCAGAAGGAUUUCUUCUUCUCUGAGCCUGCUCUUCUCUGACCUCAACAAGAGACUCUUCACCCUGUCCUACAAGGAAACCUCCUCCUACUCAGAUCGAGGCUUCUGAGAAAUGAGCUAC